CUUUCUUAUGGUUGUUGGCCAAUCUUUAGUGUGCAGUAGUGUUAUGCGGAAAACCUGUAGUGUAUCCCCGUUUUAGGAUUCUGAUGCUUAUUUUAACCCCUUACCUUUUCACUCCCAUAAAAACAGCUGAGAUCCCGAAGCCUGAUGCCAGCCUACUGCCUCUUUUGAUGAUGCCUACAGCCUUAAUUUGGAAGACCCAAGACAGUGUGCCCUUGACGAUGUUCCAUAGUGGAACCAAACAUAUUUGGAGAGCCUCAAACAUAUCUUACCAAAUCUUCCUUGUCCCUGACAACAAAUGACCAAGCUUUAUAUGAUGUGGCCCCAAGAACCUUUAGUUGGCAUACCUCCGUUGCUUUGGCUUUCAGAACUUCAUUUGUUUAGAACUUUGUUUUGAAUUUCCAGACCGUAUUGCUUCUAGUGUUUGGAGUUGACUCUUGUAUCAAAAGCACUAUGUUUUUACUCCUCUAGACCUUCCCUCGUCCUUCCAACUCCUUGCCAAGCUGGAUAAUUGUUGUGCUACUAUGGU
RNAcentral lists this long non-coding RNA (526 nucleotides) under Linum usitatissimum (flax). RNAcentral's name for it is "long non-coding RNA (LUSI_LNC001795)". The record is from RNAcentral. Lineage: Eukaryota; Viridiplantae; Streptophyta; Magnoliopsida; Malpighiales; Linaceae.